AGGACGGAGAGGCUAACGACCUCAGAAAUGACUGCUACCAUACGCAGUGUGCUGUUUCGGAGUACGAAGGGACGCAGAUCAAGAGCUGUCAGUGACUUGGCCACCUGUGGAGAGAGAGGAGAACGAGAGUGAAUAAUUGAAGAACAGACUGUGAACGUGAUACCUACCCAGAGAGCUGUAAACAGCAGAGCCGUGGCCACCUGUGGAGGGAGAGGAGAACGAGAGUGA
Molecule: non-coding RNA, 228 nt
Organism: Paramisgurnus dabryanus
Lineage: Eukaryota; Metazoa; Chordata; Actinopteri; Cypriniformes; Cobitidae
Source: RefSeq, a predicted model, not a curated record